GACGAACCGUGCGAACGUUGUUCGGAAUCACUGGGCUUAAAGGGCGCGUAGGCGGCUUAUCAAGUCAGGGGUGAAAUCCGGCAGCUCAACUGUCGAAGUGCCUUUGAUACUGAUGAGCUCGAGGGAGGUAGGGGUAUGCGGAACUUCCGGUGGAGCGGUGAAAUGCGUUGAUAUCGGAAGGAACGCCGGUGGCGAAAGCGGCGUACUGGACCUCUUCUGACGCUGAGGCGCGAAAGCUAGGGGAGCAAACGGG
This 253-nucleotide ribosomal RNA is filed under the name uncultured bacterium. RNAcentral's name for it is "partial 16S ribosomal RNA". It matches the Rfam family "Bacterial small subunit ribosomal RNA", at positions 524 to 776 of the family's 1533-position model. The record is from RNAcentral.